AUUGAACGCUGGCGGCAGGCCUAACACAUGCAAGUCGAACGGUAACAGGAAGCAGCUUGCUGCUUCGCUGACGAGUGGCGGACGGGUGAGUAAUGUCUGGGAAACUGCCUGAUGGAGGGGGAUAACUACUGGAAACGGUAGCUAAUACCGCAUAACGUCGCAAGACCAAAGAGGGGGACCUUAGGGCCUCUUGCCAUCGGAUGUGCCCAGAUGGGAUUAGCUAGUAGGUGGGGUAACGGCUCACCUAGGCGACGAUCCCUAGCUGGUCUGAGAGGAUGACCAGCCACACUGGAAAUGAGACAAGGUCCAGACUCCUAAGGGAGGCAGCAGUGGGGAAUAUUGCACAAUGGGCGCAAGCCUGAUGCAGCCAUGCCGCGUGUAUGAAGAAGGCCUUCGGGUUGUAAAGUACUUUCAGCGGGGAGGAAGGGAGUAAAGUUAAUACCUUUGCUCAUUGACGUUACCCGCAGAAGAAGCACCGGCUAACUCCGUG
RNAcentral lists this ribosomal RNA (490 nucleotides) under uncultured bacterium. RNAcentral's name for it is "partial 16S ribosomal RNA". It matches the Rfam family "Bacterial small subunit ribosomal RNA", at positions 30 to 507 of the family's 1533-position model. The record is from RNAcentral.